GACGAACGCUGGCGGCGUGCCUAAUACAUGCAAGUAGAACGCUGAAGAGAGGAGCUUGCUCUUCUUGGAUGAGUUGCGAACGGGUGAGUAACGCGUAGGUAACCUGCCUUGUAGCGGGGGAUAACUAUUGGAAACGAUAGCUAAUACCGCAUAACAAUGGAUGACACAUGUCAUUUAUUUGAAAGGGGCAAUUGCUCCACUACAAGAUGGACCUGCGUUGUAUUAGCUAGUAGGUGAGGUAGCGGCUCACCUAGGCGACGAUACAUAGCCGACCUGAGAGGGUGAUCGGCCACACUGGGACUGAGACACGGCCCAGACUCCUACGGGAGGCAGCAGUAGGGAAUCUUCGGCAAUGGGGGCAACCCUGACCGAGCAACGCCGCGUGAGUGAAGAAGGUUUUCGGAUCGUAAAGCUCUGUUGUAAGUCAAGAACGAGUGUGAGAGUGGAAAGUUCACACUGUGACGGUAGCUUACCAGAAAGGGACGGCUAACUACGUGCCAGCAGCCGCGGUAAUACGUAGGUCCCGAGCGUUGUCCGGAUUUAUUGGGCGUAAAGCGAGCGCAGGCGGUUUGAUAAGUCUGAAGUUAAAGGCUGUGGCUCAACCAUAGUUUGCUUUGGAAACUGUCAAACUUGAGUGCAGAAGGGGAGAGUGGAAUUCCAUGUGUAGCGGUGAAAUGCGUAGAUAUAUGGAGGAACACCGGUGGCGAAAGCGGCUCUCUGGUCUGUAACUGACGCUGAGGCUCGAAAGCGUGGGGAGCGAACAGGAUUAGAUACCCUGGUAGUCCACGCCGUAAACGAUGAGUGCUAGGUGUUGGAUCCUUUCCGGGAUUCAGUGCCGCAGCUAACGCAUUAAGCACUCCGCCUGGGGAGUACGACCGCAAGGUUGAAACUCAAAGGAAUUGACGGGGGCCCGCACAAGCGGUGGAGCAUGUGGUUUAAUUCGAAGCAACGCGAAGAACCUUACCAGGUCUUGACAUCCCGAUGCUAUUUCUAGAGAUAGAAAGUUACUUCGGUACAUCGGUGACAGGUGGUGCAUGGUUGUCGUCAGCUCGUGUCGUGAGAUGUUGGGUUAAGUCCCGCAACGAGCGCAACCCCUAUUGUUAGUUGCCAUCAUUCAGUUGGGCACUCUAGCGAGACUGCCGGUAAUAAACCGGAGGAAGGUGGGGAUGACGUCAAAUCAUCAUGCCCCUUAUGACCUGGGCUACACACGUGCUACAAUGGUUGGUACAACGAGUUGCAAGUCGGUGACGGCAAGCUAAUCUCUUAAAGCCAAUCUCAGUUCGGAUUGUAGGCUGCAACUCGCCUACAUGAAGUCGGAAUCGCUAGUAAUCGCGGAUCAGCACGCCGCGGUGAAUACGUUCCCGGGCCU
RNAcentral lists this ribosomal RNA (1369 nucleotides) under uncultured bacterium. Its description in RNAcentral is "bacterial SSU rRNA". It matches the Rfam family "Bacterial small subunit ribosomal RNA", at positions 28 to 1381 of the family's 1533-position model. The record is from RNAcentral.